Molecule: long non-coding RNA, 457 nt
Organism: Lycium barbarum (goji berry)
Lineage: Eukaryota; Viridiplantae; Streptophyta; Magnoliopsida; Solanales; Solanaceae
Exons: 2
Source: RefSeq, a predicted model, not a curated record
GACAUUUUUGGAAGCAGACUCAAAUCAGGACGAAAAGAUUGACAAAUCUGAAUGACACAAUUUUGUGGGCCGAAAUCCUUCAUUAUUAAAGAUAAUGACUCUUUCGUAUCUAAGGAGUAUGAAGCUAUGAAGCAUCAAGUUGCUCAGCUAACAAGAACACUUAAUUCCUCGGAGGCUAGGAUGUUGGGUAUGCAAGCCCAAAUUAAUAGUUUAUGAUGGAUAUGUUUAAAUGGAUAUGUAUAUUAUCUUUAAGGUUUAAAUGUAGUUUUAGUUCGAAUUAGAAGUACUUUUAAGUUUAUAAUGUUUAAGUGUUUGAAUGAUGUUUAUGAUGUUUAAGUGUUUGAAUGUAGUUUAUGAUGUUUAAGUGAUUGAAUGUAGUUUUAAUUUUAAGUACUUUGAGGUUGAAUUUGAUUGUUUAUAAGUGUUUGAAUGGACAAUGUUUAAGUGUUCAAGUGUU